RNAcentral lists this long non-coding RNA (1400 nucleotides) under Mus musculus (house mouse). Its description in RNAcentral is "long non-coding RNA chr16:27449397-27450797". Lineage: Eukaryota; Metazoa; Chordata; Mammalia; Rodentia; Muridae. The record is from RNAcentral.
GGAAGGAGCGCUGACAUUGAAGUCACACUGACAAGGAGACAUUGUUCCCUUUGAUUUCACUGUGAACUCCGUGCCAUGUUCUCAUAGGACACUUGUACAAAACAGUCCCUACAACAUUGAAAACCCGACCUUUGAUUUAUAGAAGUCUGUAAUGUGUCUGUCAUAUGCUGUUUAUGACUCGGUCACUCAUUCUCUCUUCCUAUCUCACAAUCAGAGAAGUGACCCAGGAGAGUCAGCUCCUCUCUCUCUCUCUCUCUCUCUCUCUCUCUCUCUCUCUCUCUCUCUCUGUCUCUGUCUCUGUCUCUGUCUGUCUGUCUGUCUAUCGGUGCCUGUAUGCUGUAGAGCCAUAUCUGUAUCUGACUGGUGACUGAUGCUUCCUUCUUCCCACCCUGUAACAAGGCAGUGCAGGCAGACAGAAGCCUCCUGUGGAGUACCCUGUCCACGCUGCAUGCAACAGUAUUAGCUGAAUAUGUGCUGGGAGGUUUGUUUGUUUGGUUAGUUUUUAUCAUGGUGAUAUGUAAGAUAAUUAAAGGGAAGAGUUAAAGGCUUUGUUGCGUCUGCUAUAACUCAUCAGAAAUGCUCAAAUUUCAUCGUAGCGUCUCCAAGAAGGUAGAGAGCUUGGAAAACAUUAGUUAUAGUCACCUUUCUGAUGAGCCCUGCACUUUAUGUCAGCAAUGUCUGUGGAGAUCAGUUUUGCCUUAAAUUAGUUUGAGUCCACCCAAGGCCAUUGUGCUUAGUAUCAUGAGCACUUGUCAGCUCUCCAUUAGCAUGCAGUUCAUAACAGAGCUUCAAGCAGCAGCAGCACCCAGAGCUUUGAACCUCGCCCACUGUGCUCUGGGUGACUUGUAACAUUAAUAGGAAUAUCUUCUCAGUUCCCUGAUAGCAGCGGCAUGGCCAGAGCACUGCUGUGAGACAGUUCCCUGGCUGGAGUAUUCACCCAGUGUUAACUUUCUGAACAGUUGGGGGGUUCUUAUCCUUUUUUUUUUUUUUUAAUGGUGACUACAAAAGAUUAGAACAAAGGUUCUUUGGUUCAGUGACAAUACUCAGAUUAUUUCUAAGAAUUUUAGCGAUGACCUUUGUGUAUUGAAAAGCUUAUUUACCAUUAACAAAUACAGGAGAAACCUCUCCCCCUCCCCCAAAUGGAUGUAUUACUUGGAAUCGUGAUCUGAAAAGUGCUCUAGUUUAUUUCUUUUAACAGAAUUAAGCAGUUAAAUGUGGCUAUGGUUGAAAAGAUAGAAGAACAGCUUUUCUAGGCUGCACACAGAAGAGUACAGUUAUGCAGGUAACCACACUGAUUUACAUACGUGUUUGCCACUAAAAUCCAUUUUCUGCCCUUAUAAAUUCGAACACUGCUACUAAUAUGGUCAUAUAGGUUUCAUAUGCCUCUGUGUAUUACAAGU